UACGGGGGAUGCGAGCGUUAUCCGGAUUUAUUGGGUUUAAAGGGUGCGCAGGCGGCCUGUUAAGUCAGCGGUAAAAGCCCGGGGCUCAACCCCGGCGAGCCGUUGAAACUGUCGGACUAGAGACGGCGAGAAGUACGCGGAAUGCGCGGUGUAGCGGUGAAAUGCAUAGAUAUCACGCAGAACUCCGAUCGCGAAGGCAGCCUACCGGCGCGCUACUGACGCUCAUGCACGAAAGCGUGGGUAUCGAACAGG
This 252-nucleotide ribosomal RNA is filed under the name uncultured Bacteroidales bacterium. Its description in RNAcentral is "partial 16S ribosomal RNA". It matches the Rfam family "Bacterial small subunit ribosomal RNA", at positions 524 to 776 of the family's 1533-position model. The record is from RNAcentral. Lineage: Bacteria; Pseudomonadati; Bacteroidota; Bacteroidia; Bacteroidales.